AUUGAACGCUGGCGGCAGGCCUAACACAUGCAAGUCGAACGGUAACAGGAAACAGCUUGCUGUUUCGCUGACGAGUGGCGGACGGGUGAGUAAUGUCUGGGAAACUGCCUGAUGGAGGGGGAUAACUACUGGAAACGGUAGCUAAUACCGCAUAACGUCGCAAGACCAAAGAGGGGGACCUUCGGGCCUCUUGCCAUCGGCUGUGCCCAGAUGGGAUUAGCUAGUAGGUGGGGUAACGGCUCACCUAGGCGACGAUCCCUAGCUGGUCUGAGAGGAUGACCAGCCACACUGGAACUGAGACACGGUCCAGACUCCUACGGGAGGCAGCAGUGGGGAAUAUUGCACAAUGGGCGCAAGCCUGAUGCAGCCAUGCCGCGUGUAUGAAGAAGGCCUUCGGAUUGUAAAGUACUUUCAGCGGGGAGGAAGGGAGUAAAGUUAAUACCUUUACUCAUUGACGUUACCCGCAGAAGAAGCACCGGCUAACUCCGUG
Molecule: ribosomal RNA, 490 nt
Filed under: uncultured bacterium
Lineage: Bacteria
Description: partial 16S ribosomal RNA
Rfam family: Bacterial small subunit ribosomal RNA
Source: RNAcentral